GAGUUUGAUCCUGGCUCAGAGUGAACGCUGGCGGCGUGCCUAAUACAUGCAAGUCGAACGAUGAAGCUUCUAGCUUGCUAGAAGUGGAUUAGUGGCGCACGGGUGAGUAACGCAUAGGUCAUGUGCCUCUUAGUUUGGGAUAGCCAUUGGAAACGAUGAUUAAUACCAGAUACUCCCUACGGGGGAAAGAUUUAUCGCUAAGAGAUCAGCCUAUGUCCUAUCAGCUUGUUGGUAAGGUAAUGGCUUACCAAGGCUAUGACGGGUAUCCGGCCUGAGAGGGUGAACGGACACACUGGAACUGAGACACGGUCCAGACUCCUACGGGAGGCAGCAGUAGGGAAUAUUGCUCAAUGGGGGAAACCCUGAAGCAGCAACGCCGCGUGGAGGAUGAAGGUUUUAGGAUUGUAAACUCCUUUUGUUAGAGAAGAUAAUGACGGUAUCUAACGAAUAAGCACCGGCUAACUCCGUGCCAGCAGCCGCGGUAAUACGGAGGGUGCAAGCGUUACUCGGAAUCACUGGGCGUAAAGAGCGCGUAGGCGGGAUAGUCAGUCAGGUGUGAAAUCCUAUGGCUUAACCAUAGAACUGCAUUUGAAACUACUAUUCUAGAGUGUGGGAGAGGUAGGUGGAAUUCUUGGUGUAGGGGUAAAAUCCGUAGAGAUCAAGAGGAAUACUCAUUGCGAAGGCGACCUGCUGGAACAUUACUGACGCUGAUUGCGCGAAAGCGUGGGGAGCAAACAGGAUUAGAUACCCUGGUAGUCCACGCCCUAAACGAUGGAUGCUAGUUGUUGGAGGGCUUAGUCUCUCCAGUAAUGCAGCUAACGCAUUAAGCAUCCCGCCUGGGGAGUACGGUCGCAAGAUUAAAACUCAAAGGAAUAGACGGGGACCCGCACAAGCGGUGGAGCAUGUGGUUUAAUUCGAAGAUACACGAAGAACCUUACCUAGGCUUGACAUUGAGAGAAUCCGCUAGAAAUAGUGGAGUGUCUGGCUUGCUAGACCUUGAAAACAGGUGCUGCACGGCUGUCGUCAGCUCGUGUCGUGAGAUGUUGGGUUAAGUCCCGCAACGAGCGCAACCCCCUUUCUUAGUUGCUAACAGGUCAUGCUGAGAACUCUAAGGAUACUGCCUCCGUAAGGAGGAGGAAGGUGGGGACGACGUCAAGUCAUCAUGGCCCUUACGCCUAGGGCUACACACGUGCUACAAUGGGGUGCACAAAGAGAAGCAAUACUGCGAAGUGGAGCCAAUCUUCAAAACGCCUCUCAGUUCGGAUUGUAGGCUGCAACUCGCCUGUAUGAAGCUGGAAUCGCUAGUAAUCGCAAAUCAGCCAUGUUGCGGUGAAUACGUUCCCGGGUCUUGUACUCACCGCCCGUCACACCAUGGGAGUUGUGUUUGCCUUAAGUCAGGAUGCUAAAUUGGCUACUGCCCACGGCACACACAGCGACUGGGGUGAAGUCGUAACAAGGUAACCGUAGGUGAACCUGCGGUUGGAUCACC
This 1489-nucleotide ribosomal RNA is filed under the name Helicobacter pylori Hp H-34. RNAcentral's name for it is "bacterial SSU rRNA". It matches the Rfam family "Bacterial small subunit ribosomal RNA". The record is from RNAcentral. Lineage: Bacteria; Pseudomonadati; Campylobacterota; Epsilonproteobacteria; Campylobacterales; Helicobacteraceae.